UUAGGUUUUCUUCAAUUUCUUCUGGAAUUUUUCUCAGAUUUUUGUUGUUGAAGGUUGAUGGAGAUGAUACGAAGAUGAAGAAAAUGAAGAA
RNAcentral lists this microRNA precursor (91 nucleotides) under Medicago truncatula (barrel medic). Its description in RNAcentral is "MIR5298 microRNA precursor family". It matches the Rfam family "MIR5298 microRNA precursor family". The record is from Rfam by way of RNAcentral. Lineage: Eukaryota; Viridiplantae; Streptophyta; Magnoliopsida; Fabales; Fabaceae.